GUGCCAGCAGCCGCGGUAAUACCAGCCCCGCGAGUGGUUGGGACGUUUACUAGGCCUAAAGCGCCUGUAGCCGGCCCUGUAAGUCCCUCCCUAAAGGCCCGGGCUCAACCCGGGAACCGGGAGGGAUACUGCAGGGCUAGGGGGCGGGAGAGGCGGGGGGUACUCCCGGAGUAGGGGCGAAAUCCGUAGAUCCCGGGAGGACCACCAGUGGCGAAGGCGCCCGGCUGGAACGCGCCCGACGGUGAGGGGCGAAAGCCGGGGGAGCGAACCGGAUUAGAUACCCGGGUAGUCCCGGCUGUAAACUAUGCGGGCCAGGUGUCGGGCGGGCUUAGAGCCCGCCCAGUGGCGGAGGGAAGCCGUUAAGCCCGCCGCCUGGGGAGUACGGCCGCAAGGCUGAAACUUAAAGGAAUUGGCGGGGGGGCACCACAAGGGGUGAAGCUUGCGGCUUAAUUGGAGUCAACGCCGGAAACCUUACCCGGGGCGACAGCAGGAUGAUGGCCAGGCUAACGACCUUGCCGGACGAGCUGAGAGGAGGUGCAUGGCCGUCGUCAGCUCGUGCCGUGAGGUGUCCGGUUAAGUCCGGCAACGAGCGAGACCCCCACCCCUAGUUGCUACCCGAUCCUUCGGGAUCGGGGGCACACUAGGGGGACUGCCGGCGUAAGCCGGAGGAAGGAGGGGGCCACGGCAGGUCAGUAUGCCCCGAAACCCCGGGGCUGCACGCGAGCUGCAAUGGCGGGGACAGCGGGAUCCGACCCCGAAAGGGGGAGGUAAUCCCGUAAACCCCGCCCCAGUAGGGAUCGAGGGCUGUAACUCGCCCUCGUGAACGUGGAAUCCCUAGUAACUCGCGUGUCACCAACGCGCGGUGAAUACGUCCCUGCCCCUUGCACACACCGCCCGUC
This 899-nucleotide ribosomal RNA is filed under the name uncultured archaeon. Its description in RNAcentral is "SSU rRNA". It matches the Rfam family "Archaeal small subunit ribosomal RNA", at positions 455 to 1354 of the family's 1478-position model. The record is from RNAcentral.